This 301-nucleotide ribosomal RNA is filed under the name uncultured bacterium. RNAcentral's name for it is "partial 16S ribosomal RNA". It matches the Rfam family "Bacterial small subunit ribosomal RNA", at positions 509 to 807 of the family's 1533-position model. The record is from RNAcentral.
CAGCCGCCGCGGGAAUACGUAGGUGGCAAGCGUUGUCCGGAAUUAUUGGGCGCAAAGGGCUCGCAGGCGGUUUCUUAAGUCUGAUGUGAAAGCCCCCGGCUCAACCGGGGAGGGUCAUUGGAAACUGGGAAACUUGAGUGCAGAAGAGGAGAGUGGAAUUCCACGUGUAGCGGUGAAAUGCGUAGAGAUGUGGAGGAACACCAGUGGCGAAGGCGACUCUCUGGUCUGUAACUGACGCUGAGGAGCGAAAGCGUGGGGAGCGAACAGGAUUAGAUACCCCGGUAGUCCCUGUCUCUUAUAC